RNAcentral lists this unclassified non-coding RNA (282 nucleotides) under uncultured fungus. Its description in RNAcentral is "partial contains small subunit ribosomal RNA, internal transcribed spacer 1, and 5.8S ribosomal RNA". The stretch from base 1 to 73 matches the Rfam family "Eukaryotic small subunit ribosomal RNA", at positions 1759 to 1831 of the family's 1831-position model. The record is from RNAcentral. Lineage: Eukaryota; Fungi.
GCAAACUUGGUCAUUUAGAGGAAGUAAAAGUCGUAACAAGGUUUCCGUAGGUGAACCUGCGGAAGGAUCAUUACCAAUGUAUGACCUGAGCGCCUCUGAAUAAGAGGCGUUUGGUACUCAUCAUCCUUGUCUUUUGCGUACUACUUGUUUCCUCGGCGGGCUUGCCUGCCGAAUGGACAAUAUUAAACUCUUUUGUAAUUGCAAUCAGCGUCUGAAUAAACUAUAAUAGUUACAACUUUCAACAACGGAUCUCUUGGUUCUGGCAUCGAUGAAGAACGCAGC